GGGGAUUUAGCUCAGUGGUAGAGCGCUUGCCUAACAAGUACAAGGCCCUGGGUUCGGUCCCCAGCUCCG
Molecule: transfer RNA, 69 nt
Filed under: Rattus norvegicus (Norway rat)
Lineage: Eukaryota; Metazoa; Chordata; Mammalia; Rodentia; Muridae
Rfam family: tRNA
About the family: Transfer RNA (tRNA) molecules are approximately 80 nucleotides in length. Their secondary structure includes four short double-helical elements and three loops (D, anti-codon, and T loops).
Source: Rfam by way of RNAcentral